This is a long non-coding RNA of Cryptomeria japonica (Japanese cedar), 424 nucleotides long. RefSeq lists it as uncharacterized. The transcript is spliced from 3 exons. Lineage: Eukaryota; Viridiplantae; Streptophyta; Pinopsida; Cupressales; Cupressaceae. The record is from RefSeq and is a predicted model, not a curated record.
GUUACAGAAUUCUGUUUUGCUGUUAUUGCAAAUAAUGAAAGGAACUUUCGAGAAUCUUUGGCGUUAAUAGUUUAAUACCUUGUUGAAAAGUUUAAAUGGAUAUCAAGAGGCAAAUCAAUUUAAUCUAAUUUUUUUUAGAUAUGCGAAUCCAUGUGAUCCUCCAACUGUCUUUCUUGAAUUUGAUUCAUUAGAUCGAAAAUAGUGGCAGGAUUUCCAGUUGUCAGGUACCUCGUUGAAAAGUUUAAAUGGAUCUCACGAGCCACACCAAUUUAAUCUAAUUUUCUUUAGAUAUGCGAAUCCGUGUGGUCCUCCAGCUUUCUUUCCUAAAUUUGAUUAAUUAGAUUGAAAAUAGUGACAGGAUUUUUACUUGUAAGGUACGCUACUUCACUUCUGUGUGUUUCUUUUUACUCAACAGGUACCUUGU